This 1370-nucleotide ribosomal RNA is filed under the name uncultured bacterium. Its description in RNAcentral is "bacterial SSU rRNA". It matches the Rfam family "Bacterial small subunit ribosomal RNA", at positions 28 to 1381 of the family's 1533-position model. The record is from RNAcentral.
GAUGAACGCUGGCGGCGUGCCUAAUACAUGCAAGUCGAGCGAACGGACGAGAAGCUUGCUUCUCUGAUGUUAGCGGCGGACGGGUGAGUAACACGUGGAUAACCUACCUAUAAGACUGGGAUAACUUCGGGAAACCGGAGCUAAUACCGGAUAAUAUUUUGAACCGCAUGGUUCAAAAGUGAAAGACGGUCUUGCUGUCACUUAUAGAUGGAUCCGCGCUGCAUUAGCUAGUUGGUAAGGUAACGGCUUACCAAGGCAACGAUGCAUAGCCGACCUGAGAGGGUGAUCGGCCACACUGGAACUGAGACACAGUCCAGACUCCUACGGGAGGCAGCAGUAGGGAAUCUUCCGCAAUGGGCGAAAGCCUGACGGAGCAACGCCGCGUGAGUGAUGAAGGUCUUCGGAUUGUAAAACUCUGUUAUUAGGGAAGAACAUAUGUGUAAGUAACUGUGCACAUCUUGACGGUACCUAAUCAGAAAGCCACGGCUAACUACGUGCCAGCAGCCGCGGUAAUACGUAGGUGGCAAGCGUUAUCCGGAAUUAUUGGGCGUAAAGCGCGCGUAGCGGUUUUUUAGUCUGAUGUGAAAGCCCACGGCUCAACUGUGGAGGGUCAUUGGAAACUGGAAAACUUGAGUGCAGAAGAGGAAAGUGGAAUUCCAUGUGUAGCGGUGAAAUGCGCAGAGAUAUGGAGGAACACCAGUGGCGAAGGCGACUUUCUGGUCUGUAACUGACGCUGAUGUGCGAAAGCGUGGGGAUCAAACAGGAUUAGAUACCCUGGUAGUCCACGCCGUAAACGAUGAGUGCUAAGUGUUAGGGGGUUUCCGCCCCUUAGUGCUGCAGCUAACGCAUUAAGCACUCCGCCUGGGGAGUACGACCGCAAGGUUGAAACUCAAAGGAAUUGACGGGGACCCGCACAAGCGGUGGAGCAUGUGGUUUAAUUCGAAGCAACGCGAAGAACCUUACCAAAUCUUGACAUCCUUUGACAACUCUAGAGAUAGAGCUUUCCCCUUCGGGGGACAAAGUGACAGGUGGUGCAUGGUUGUCGUCAGCUCGUGUCGUGAGAUGUUGGGUUAAGUCCCGCAACGAGCGCAACCCUUAAGCUUAGUUGCCAUCAUUAAGUUGGGCACUCUAAGUUGACUGCCGGUGACAAACCGGAGGAAGGUGGGGAUGACGUCAAAUCAUCAUGCCCCUUAUGAUUUGGGCUACACACGUGCUACAAUGGACAAUACAAAGGGCAGCGAAACCGUGAGGUCAAGCAAAUCCCAUAAAGUUGUUCUCAGUUCGGAUUGUAGUCUGCAACUCGACUACAUGAAGCAGGAAUCGCUAGUAAUCGUAGAUCAGCAUGAUACGGUGAAUACAAUCCCGGGUCU